Molecule: non-coding RNA, 97 nt
Organism: Vicugna pacos (alpaca)
Lineage: Eukaryota; Metazoa; Chordata; Mammalia; Artiodactyla; Camelidae
Source: RefSeq, a predicted model, not a curated record
UGUGCUCUUUCGAUCGUUAAUUAACACUCAUCGUCUCAUAUGCUGACAGUUUCUUUGGUUUUCUGGGGUUUUUUUGGUGAGAAGACUUGAUUUCUAC